AUUGAACGCUGGCGGCAUGCCUUACACAUGCAAGUCGAACGGCAGCACGGGAGCAAUCCUGGUGGCGAGUGGCGAACGGGUGAGUAAUAUAUCGGAACGUGCCCAGUCGUGGGGGAUAACGUAGCGAAAGCUACGCUAAUACCGCAUACGAUCUACGGAUGAAAGCGGGGGAUCGCAAGACCUCGCGCGAUUGGAGCGGCCGAUAUCAGAUUAGCUAGUUGGUGGGGUAAAAGCUCACCAAGGCGACGAUCUGUAGCUGGUCUGAGAGGACGACCAGCCACACUGGAACUGAGACACGGUCCAGACUCCUACGGGAGGCAGCAGUGGGGAAUUUUGGACAAUGGGCGCAAGCCUGAUCCAGCAAUGCCGCGUGCAGGAUGAAGGCCUUCGGGUUGUAAACUGCUUUUGUACGGAACGAACGGUGAGGCUCUAAUAAAGCUUGCUAAUGAACGGUACCGUAAGGAAUAAGACACCGGCUAACUACGUACG
This 489-nucleotide ribosomal RNA is filed under the name uncultured bacterium. RNAcentral's name for it is "bacterial SSU rRNA". It matches the Rfam family "Bacterial small subunit ribosomal RNA", at positions 30 to 509 of the family's 1533-position model. The record is from RNAcentral.